RNAcentral lists this ribosomal RNA (424 nucleotides) under uncultured Chlorophyta. RNAcentral describes it as "bacterial SSU rRNA". It matches the Rfam family "Bacterial small subunit ribosomal RNA", at positions 355 to 794 of the family's 1533-position model. The record is from RNAcentral. Lineage: Eukaryota; Viridiplantae; Chlorophyta.
UGGGGAAUUUUCCGCAAUGGGCGAAAGCCUGACGGAGCAAUGCCGCGUGGAGGAUGAAAGCCUGUGGGUCGUAAACUCCUUUUCUCAGAGAAGAAGAUCUGACGGUAUCUGAGGAAUAAGCAUCGGCUAACUCCGUGCCAGCAGCCGCGGUAACACGGAGGAUGCAAGCGUUAUCCGGAAUGAUUGGGCGUAAAGCGUCUGUAGGUCGUUUCCUAAGUCUCCUGUCAAAGAUCAAGGCUUAACCUUGAAAAGGCAGUGGAAACUGGGAGGCUUGAGUACGGUAGAGGCGGAGGGAAUUCCCGGUGUAGCGGUGAAAUGCGUAGAGAUCGGGAAGAACACCAAAGGCGAAAGCACUCUGCUGGUCCGAAACUGACACUGAGAGACGAAAGCGAGGGGAGCAAAAGGGAUUAGAUACCCCUGUAGU